Aphidius gifuensis is the source of this 7019-nucleotide long non-coding RNA. RefSeq lists it as uncharacterized. NCBI's taxonomy places the organism in Eukaryota, Metazoa, Arthropoda, Insecta, Hymenoptera, Braconidae. The record is from RefSeq and is a predicted model, not a curated record. The transcript is spliced from 28 exons.
AGUCGCAUUUUUUGAUCAGUCGCAAUCAGUCGUCUCCAGUCGUCUCCUGUAAACUGGAAGAGAAAGGACGUUAUUUUUUGUGGAUCGGAGAUUUUGUGGUAACUUUUUCAUCAAGCCCGAGCAAGCCAUCUUUUUUUUUGUGCCUCGGCUUCUCGCUAAUCAUAUCUGAAUGUUCCUUGAUGAAUCUGUACAAACAAAGCAGUUUUUCGUUGAUAACUGGUAAACGUUCCAAGUUGGAGUUCUACCAGAGAGGUGGCACUACCAUGUCGUUUGCCAGCAUGUUGGAGUCUUGGCUGAUGUGUCAUACUAAUACGAAGCUGGAUCAACAUAGUACAAUAACAAGAUCAUCAAUCAGAAUAAUAAACAAGCUCAUCAAUGACAGCACUAAAUUAAACAGAAUAUAUUUUCAAAGCAACUUAAGGCAAAAAGAUGAGUUUACAUUGAAAAUAGAUGAUAAUGAAUGAUGAUGAUGGUCAUCUGACUUGACUGAAAACGAUGAAGGGCGCUUGAAGUGUUGAUAGUUACGAGAAUGUGAUGGAUUUUGAUAUAGCAAUAGCUUCAUCGAUGAACACUUCAAACGUGUACCUAUCGACGAACACGUUCCAGGAAUGGCAAUCAUCGUGAUAGGAUAGUAAUACAAUUAUCACCUGGACAACACACAGAGAGGAUUCUCAAUAGUGAAUGCCUAUAUACGCGUAUAAUUAGUGGUUGAAUCGAGAGUGCACGAACUGAUGGAUGCCAUAUCCAAUCUAUAUAUUAUCAUCAUCAUCAUCCAUUUAUAUAUACUUGACGAAAAUAGAGAUAAAGAGUAAAUAUAUAUAUAUAAAAAGGGAUUUGCAAGUAUGUACAAUUCAAUGCAAAUAUUCUCAUGACCAGGAACGAGUUCGUUAAUCUGUUAAUGCAUUUGAUUUCAAUGAUGAAAAUCUAGUAGAAAAUCACUGAAAAACAAAGAUGCUGUACUUGUUCGUUGUCCGAUAAAAUUAAACAUGUUUAUAUUAAAAAACAUACUGGCGAUUCAUGCUGACGAAAGUUUAAUCAGUUUUAUCGAUAACGCCUUGGGCUUUAAAGCAGUAUAAACAACGAGUUUGGAUAUUUGUGUGCAGAGUAUUUAUCUUGGUGCUGAGAAUAAUCACAAUAUGACCACUAGACAAUGAUGCCUCACACGAGAUGGACCAUGUUUAAGAUGGAAGUUGAGAGAAAAAAAAUAAAUAAAAUGAUUCAUGAAGGCUGUGAUCGUAAUGUGAGCAAGUAAGCGGACAUUAUCGGCUCGUUGAGAGUCGUCAUCAACUCUUGAGAUGCAUUUCAGGCAUUUUAACGUGAGUACUAACGGACAAAGACGAAUUAUAAAAAUUACGUUAAAGUUCUAAAGUGAGGAUGUAAAAUGAGUACUGGAUAUAUGAUGGUGUUUGACUAAAUAUAAAGAAAAUAGUCUAAAAAGUUUUCAAGUGAUAUGAAAGCUACAUUUUAGAGAAAUUGGAUGAUAAAGGUCUUGCUUGUGGUGUAUGUUGUAUAUUCAACUGACUCAACCCUCUUGUUUAACGUAAAAUUGUUGUGAUAUCUACACCCCUUUUCACGAACGGAGCCCGCCCAAUGAGAGAAUAACCAAAGAAGAUAGUGUGACGACGUGAUGAAUGUGACAGUUAGAUUAAUUGUUGGCUACCGCGUUCAUCGGUGCGUUUGUUGGUUUGUUUUCGGUCGAAGAGAAGAGGAGAGGAGGUGUUGAAAAUCAUUGCCAACGUACGAGGAAUUUGAUAAUAAAGAAAAUUGAUUGUAAAAAAGAAAAAGGAAAAAGUUGCGUAUAUUUGACCUUUAAUAAUAAAGUAAUAGUCAAUUAUCGUUGAAAUUAUUUGUCACGAUCGUCACGCUAACUUUACAUAUGUUUGGCCUUAACAAUACUCAGGUUAAACAGCAUAUUACACGACGAGAGGAUAAAAUUGUUUGGCAUCAAUUGACGUGAAGGUUAAACCACUGGUGAUAAAUUUGUUUACCGUUAUUGCAUCAAAUUACAACUGGAUCCAUCAAAAAAUAUAUAUCUUAUUCUUCACGGUAUCAACUGUAAUUUCAAUUCAAUAUACAAAGUGAGUAUGUGAGUCAACCUGCCCACGAAAUCGAGGCCAUGUGACAAUGGAUUGAUUUAGUGAAAUUCUGUUCUGUUCUGGCUUGAAUAGUCUCGAGGUGGGUCUCUCAAGUAAACCAGUCAACUGAUGAUCUCAACCCCAUGGUACUGUCUCUUGGUCACGUACAGACUGUAACACGCGUACUGAUAUAUUCUGUGUUCAACAUGUACACGGAUCAGAGAAUGCGUCUUGAGUAUGUUUCGACAUUCAGCUAUACAUACAACCACGUGUACAAGUCACUCGUCUUUGGACAACAGGCCACUUUGUUUUGGACAACUUGCCUUGAUUAUACACAAUACAAUAAAGGAAUGAAAAAUGUGUAGGCGUGGUGAUGCAAUUCAUGUUUAUAAAUAUUUUUGUUGAUCAUUUUGAUCUACUUAAAUUUUUAUUUUCAUUCUUAUUGUACAUCCAAUUGGUAUAUUGAGUUGGUUGGACGCUCAAGUUGCAGACAGAUGGUUUUAAAAUUAAACUGAAAAAAAAAAAACAACAUUCAACUACAUCAUAAAGACUCGUGUCGCCAGUUGACUAUGAAUGUAAUCCUGAGGGAAGGUUGGUUUGGUCCGGUUGGAUUGUUGAACGUCCAGCAUAGAGAUUUCAUCGUAUCAUAAUAUGUGAUAUGUGGCGAAUAUAUGCGGUGACGAAAGUGGACUCUGAUACGCCUGGUGAAUCGUCACGCCAAAGUGGACAUUGUCGUCAAGAGAAGUUUAUGCAAUCGUAUUUAAAAUUGAUUACGAGGGUUCCAUGCUGCUGCUUGAUUAUUUGGAAAAGAAAAAUCAUCAUGCUGUACUUGAUGAAAGCAAUUAAUAUACACAUAAAGUUGGAAAAAAAAAUAAUUCCAUUGCGCCAUAACCAGGUGAACAAUUGUGUUUUAUCAAGGUGGCUGAUUAUCUUUAUCAAUUGAGAAAACAUCAGCUACGUAGGACGUGAUAAUUAAAAAUCUUAUAACAAUUUUAUGUAAUUUAAUUUCAAAAUGUCAAUGUGGUGGGUCACAUCUAUACGCAUACAAACAGAGAGCUUUUACCCGUCGGUAAAACCACACGAGCUUUGUAUACGCGUACAGUUUGUCCUGUCUUUUUUAUUUAUUUAUUUUUUAUUUUUUUUGCCUUGAAGCACGUUUAAGCGCAUGAAUUGGAGGGAGAGCACAUUUGGAGCGUAUGCAUCUAAAUGCGUUUUACCAUGGAUCAAAUGCAUUACGUUAUAGUCGUGGUAUUGGAUGGUAUCAGAGUGAGUCAGCCAGCGAGACAUACACGAGGCUUAUGAGUGUAUGCGAAAAGGAUUAAACUUUACUCCUCAUUCCCUCACCUAACUCGAUUCGUCAUUUUACCUGUCAAUCAAGGAUGGAAAAAAAAGUGAGCGAAUGCAUAAUCAUGACAGAUUAUUAUUUGCGGCAUAUCAGAGAAUAAUACAAUGGAGUAAAAUGAAUGGGAACUCAAUGCAGAACAGUGAACGUGGAUCAAAACUUAAUAACGAUGUCAUAUCGGCUUCGGGGUAUUUUUCAAUAGACUUGAAAUUUCAUGGCUUUGCAUUACGAGUUUUUAAAAAAAAUCGUCAACCAAAAAGUAUGCGACAGGAGCAUUGGCCUUAAUGCAUUCCAAGAGGUGAUAAAAUGAUCAAGGGCUGUGUGUGUGGCUGCAUAAAGGUCGAAGGUACGAUGGUUUGCAGAAAAAAAAAAAAAAGAUGAAGCAAGCAAGGUGCAUUAUAUAUAUUAUCCAAGGAUUUGCAUUGGACAAGACUUACAGUUAUUGCUGAACAUCUCAUCAGGACUUAUGAGGCACCCUAAGAAAAUGGCUUGAGCUAUAUGGCCAUGGCUAUUUUCUCUUGUCUUGGAAUCUAAAGAUGAAUAGUAAAGGGGAUGAAAUUAUCUUGGGGAUAUAUUUCGUGUCUUUCAGAGCAGAGUUAUAUGAGAAAAUUUUACUGUAUAUUUGAAAUAUACAAUAAGCAAUUGAAGUGACUCAAGUUAUAUACACUUUAAUCUUGAAAAUUGUUACUAGCAGUCAUGGUCAUCUUCCUGUAGUCGUUUUGGUGUCCCAACUAAUUAAAGUAAAACCGUAUUUUGGUAAUUCAAAGUGUCCAUAGUACAUCUCUACACUUUACAGUUGAAUUGUUAGUAGAUGAAGAGAAAGGAGAAUACGAAAAUUUACAAUUUUAUACAUAUAUAUGUAUAUAAAUGUGAAACUCGUGGAAACUAAGUGCCUGACUGUCCUUGGAAUUGGCUCAUUCCCGUGAAAUAACUGCCUCUCAAUAUAUAUUGUUAAUGUAUAGAUAUAUAUAUCGUUAUACCAGGACAUCCGCCUUAGCAAGAAUAAUCCAACUGUAUAGUUUAUCCCAAAGCCAGGAAUUGCGUAACAUUAAACUUGGUGACGACAAAACUUAGCUUGGUGGUGCCAAGAACAAUGAAAAUGUGACAAAUAUCUUAUUAUUUCUUGUCUUUGGCGCCGAGUUGACUUGGGCAGGCUAUCAAUUAUUACUAUUAUCUCUGUAAAAUUAUCAUCAUCAUCAUCAUCAUCAACAUUAACAUUAACAUUAACAUACAUACAUGUUACAGUGGAAAAUCGUUUGGGCAAAAUCACUGAGAGAAGAGAAACCAAAUCCCAUAGGAAGUUAGCACGGAUUACCAUGGGCAUCCAUCACUCGAUGUUUCUUUCCAGUCAGCAUCAACUGUAAAGGCGAAAAUAGAGUCUUAGAGGGAUACAACUUGUCUGUAUUGGAAAAGGAAAUUUCCGGCAAAUUGCAGCCCCAAGCUAUGGCCUGUAUAUCUAUUCUUGUUUUUGGUCUUUGGAUUUUAAUUCACGCUGAGUGAACGAUGGAACAAUGACAGACUCAAGUGGUUCUCCAUGGGUCAAAGGGAGUGCUCCAUGAUUGGUGGAAGAAGAAAAUAAAGACGAUAAUGAAAAAAAAAAAGAAGAAAAAAAAAAUUGAAAACGUUUGCAAGAAUGAGAGAAGAGACGCUCGGGCACGCUUUGGCCACUUUGCUAGACGAGAAAGUGGAGUCUGUAUACUUGAGAUGUAAAGGCGAAAUAUACGGGUACGUGUGCUUUGUACAUGAGUGGAUUGUGUACGAGGAGGAGAGGCCUUCAUCGUACGAGUGCUUUUGCUUGCUGAAUCAAAUGCAUAUACCUGCAUGUGGACCAACUCACCCGAGAGCACCUGUUGAAACGACCGCAUAUCCAAAGUUGCUCGACUUCAAUCUAUCGUUCAGGAUUCGUGACGAAUACUAAUAAAGUUGAACCCGCUAAUUUCUUCAAGUGACCCUCUUGAAGUAGCGUGUUCGAUUAUAUAUAGGGUGUGGAAAAGGUCUGAAUUCGUUGGGGGUUGCCGAAAGAGAAAAAAAAAAAGCCAAGAGAAACCGUUUUGGAAUUGAAAAAAAAAAAAACCACCACCACCACCUAUGGCGUUUGGGAAAUAUGCUUUCAGGCACUUUCAAACUUAAGGGCGUUUUAGAUUCCAAUCUAAUAAAUACUUCCUCAAUGCUAACUGUCUUUUUUUUUAUGUUAUUAUUUUUUAUUAGGGAGAGAGAGUGUAUACAUAGAGAAGGAAAAAAAAAAAAUGCGUCCAUCCGUAUCGCCUUUUUUAAAACCUACUUAUCUUGGAAGCUACAAAUCAAUUUAACGACAUGAAUAAAAAGUCAUUUUAACUUGCUAUUAUUUUUGGUUCGUUAGGAUGUGUCUCUUCAUUAAUCACAUAUCCCUUCACCAGCCGGAAACGAUGAAUUUUCUAUGCUCAAUGCAGAAAUCUAAAAGUGAAAAGGAAAAAAAAAAAAGCUAUAUCAAUAAAAAAUAAGUGAGUCCGGUCAAAAAUAUACGUCGACAAAACACAUUUGAAAAAUGUAUGAAUUUUAUCAGCAACAGCAUUUUUAAUCACACUGGUAUUUAUGUGGUUGGUGUUAAUAUAGAAGCUAUGUGGUUAUGCAUAGUAAUGAGAAACGAGAGAAACACGGGACACAAUCUAAUAGGCAUAAAAUGCUCCAGUUAAAAACUCCAUCUUAAAUAUUGGAGAAAUAAAAAGAACAAAGCCGAUUAAAAACAAAAAGAAAAUUACUCGGAAAUUUGUUUUUAUAAUGACGAGUAACGGAGUAAAAUGCAUUGACUGUGUGACAUUUGCUAAUGGACACUGAUGGUGAUAAAAAUUUAUCUUUUCAUCGAUACACCUGCUAUAUAAUAAUAAUAUGAAUUUCAAUGAGACAAGCCAACAAUAUCAGUUGAGAAUUUCCAUAAUCAUCAAUGCAAGUAUGAGGAAGUUUAGUAAUUUUUUUAUCAUCUAUCAUUCGAACUUUCUUUUGGAUGAAUUUGUGGCUAAUUAAUUUUUUUUUUUGGCUAUUGCGAUUUGUUGUCAAGGCUUUAUGUGAUCCAGGAAUUAAUGAUAGAAAAAUCAUCAAACUAAGUUAUAAAAAUCUAAUACUAUACCGAGAGUAUACCAUUUAUUUUUCUUCAGAUCAAACAAAUGUGUUUAUUCAUUGGAUUUCGACUGUCUCUUCAUUUAUUUAGGCGGACAAAUUUCAAAUAAAAUUGGGUCAAUGGGGGAAACAACUUACUACCAAAGUAAAAUAGAAAAAUAAAAAAAAAAAAAACGAAAAAUUUGUUGCAGUAUCGUCAACGAAACGUGAGCAAUCGCAAGAAAUACACAUGACACUAGACAAAUGACUGUUUUUGACCCUGUUGUGAUCUUUGAAAAAAUAAGUUUUAGGGUCGAAGUCAGAGCAAAACGAUAAGAGCAAACCAAUCCUACACCUCUUUACUUUAUAUCCACCAUAGAAAAAAAGAUAGUGAAAUCACUCGUAGUUGAUCUUAUCCCUUGACUGUUUGCUUGCUUCAUUACCUCAAUAUAAAUUGUCCUGGCUGGUUGGGGUCACUCUUGAUUGAAUAUCAUCAUUUAUUUCUUUAUUUCAAGGUAGAUACACAAUAC